Molecule: ribosomal RNA, 253 nt
Filed under: uncultured bacterium
Lineage: Bacteria
Description: partial 16S ribosomal RNA
Rfam family: Bacterial small subunit ribosomal RNA
Source: RNAcentral
CACGUAGGGCGCAAGCGUUGUCCGGAAUUAUUGGGCGUAAAGAGCUCGUAGGCGGUCUGUUGCGUCCGCUGUGAAAACUCGGGGCUUAACCCCGAGCCUGCAGUGGAUACGGGCAGACUAGAGGUAGGUAGGGGAGAAUGGAAUUCCUGGUGUAGCGGUGAAAUGCGCAGAUAUCAGGAGGAACACCAGUGGCGAAGGCGGCUCACUGGACCGGUACUGACGCUGAGGCGCGAAAGCGUGGGGAGCGAACAGG